UUAUCCAUUUGUGUUCAUAUUGUAUUUAAUUGAAAGAUGUUUGUUGUUUUUUUUUUCUCUUUCUCCUUUCUUCUUUCUACAUACAUUCUUGCUGCUGGAGGCUGUAAAUUUCCCCAGUGUGGGACGAAUAAAGGAUAUCUUAUCUUAUCUUAGUUCGAUGUGAAUGAUUGCAUUCAUUUCAAUUGGACUUGUAAUGACAGGCCUUUGACCGCCAGGUGGCGCAUUGACUUGAAGUUGCAGAAUAUGGGGGCGGGUGGGGGGUGGUUUCGACCACCUAGGACCUCUGUAUCGCUCUACUUCUACUGGUCUGAUCACAACCCAUCUGCAGCAAUGCACAGGCUAAAAUAGGUCAUCAACAACACUGUUGUCAUUU
Hippocampus zosterae (dwarf seahorse) is the source of this 373-nucleotide long non-coding RNA. RefSeq lists it as uncharacterized. The transcript is spliced from 2 exons. NCBI's taxonomy places the organism in Eukaryota, Metazoa, Chordata, Actinopteri, Syngnathiformes, Syngnathidae. The record is from RefSeq and is a predicted model, not a curated record.